Vigna angularis (adzuki bean) is the source of this 250-nucleotide non-coding RNA. It matches the Rfam family "RNase MRP". Rfam says of the family: RNase MRP is an enzymatically active ribonucleoprotein with two distinct roles in eukaryotes. In mitochondria it plays a direct role in the initiation of mitochondrial DNA replication. The record is from Rfam. Lineage: Eukaryota; Viridiplantae; Streptophyta; Magnoliopsida; Fabales; Fabaceae.
UUGGAUAUGGGGUGAUGUGAUUUGGCCCAUGCUAAUAGCUGGGCUUAGGAAAGUCCCCGGGCCCUGCUCUGCAGAAAUGCAGGCCCUUUAUAGGGUAACUACGAGCUGGACUUGAGUUGGCUCCGCUGGGCCAAGGGGCUGAGACACGUGUGGAGCCUUUGCUUGUCCUGCCGUAGAAUUUGGCCACUUUCACAGUCAUUCACAUGGUCUAUCUUGACUAACAGAACGGGGCUUACUCUCCCAUAAUCCA